This is a long non-coding RNA of Mustela erminea (ermine), 998 nucleotides long. RefSeq lists it as uncharacterized. The record is from RefSeq and is a predicted model, not a curated record. NCBI's taxonomy places the organism in Eukaryota, Metazoa, Chordata, Mammalia, Carnivora, Mustelidae. The transcript is spliced from 3 exons.
CACCACCUGGGCAGGUAGGUGGGCAGAGGGAGGGAGGGAGAAAAGAGGCAUCAGCGCCCAGGCACAGCUGGCCUGGGGCAGAGGAGUGGGCAAAAAAGGGGGCGCCGCGGCUGCGCUUGGCCGGUCUGGCCCUGGGUGCCGUGAACCUGGACCCAGACCCCCGGCCUCCAUGCGCCAGUGGUGCGACCCCACCCUUUGUCACCUCCAGACGACAGUCUGUGCAUCCCAAAACUGGGCCAGGAGAGCUACCCACCCAGGGCAGUCCUGAGGUUUGGGACACACUGUUAACCCAAGCAGGUGGGAUUUCUUACAAAAAUCUUAGCUCUGUCAUUAAAAUAAGUCUCCCAGCUUCGGAGCACAUGCUCAGCUUGGAGUUCCUCCGGGGGACCCCAGCAGGCUGAGGCUUGCUUUACCGACAUGACAGUCCACACCAGCACCAAGUGGGAUGAACAGGAAAGGGUGGGCUGGGCCCACAAGCACGAGGAACAGACUCAACAGAACCAAUGACCUGCUGGAUAACCCGACCCCCGGGGCCUCCAUUUUCUCAUCUAUAAAAGGGCAGCAGGGGGCACACAUGACAGACUCUACCUGGUAGGGCCGUGGGGAAGCACAAGUCAGCAGGCCGCAGCCAGCACAGCGUGGUGUCCCCUCCGUCUCCGCCCCUGAAGGGCAGCGAGACUGUGGGCAGAGGCUGGCCGCCUGGGUUCAAGCCCCAGCGCCACCACCCCUCAGCCGAGCAACCGCGGAGCGGCGGGUCAGCCUCUCCGUGGGAGGAAGCGGUAACUGUCUCCGCUUCAGAGGCCAGCCGGGUCACAGGAGCAGACUUGCACAAAGCGUGCGCUGUGGUGCCGGCAAGAGUAAAGUCCACACCAGCCGCGGAUGCACCUCAUGGCCCCUUCCACGGGCCACUGCGCUUGAAAUGGGGUCACUCGCAAACAAGCACCAGGCCCGUGAUGUGGAGCAGGUGAAGCCACGAUGCCCUCAAGACGCUGUUUUGA